Molecule: ribosomal RNA, 465 nt
Filed under: uncultured Klebsiella sp.
Lineage: Bacteria; Pseudomonadati; Pseudomonadota; Gammaproteobacteria; Enterobacterales; Enterobacteriaceae
Description: bacterial SSU rRNA
Rfam family: Bacterial small subunit ribosomal RNA
Source: RNAcentral
CCUACGGGUGGCUGCAGUGGGGAAUAUUGCACAAUGGGCGCAAGUCUGAUGCAGCCAUGCCGCGUGUGUGAAGAAGGCCUUCGGGUUGUAAAGCACUUUCAGCGGGGAGGAAGGCGUUAAGGUUAAUAACCUUGUCGAUUGACGUUACCCGCAGAAGAAGCACCGGCUAACUCCGUGCCAGCAGCCGCGGUAAUACGGAGGGUGCAAGCGUUAAUCGGAAUUACUGGGCGUAAAGCGCACGCAGGCGGUCUGUCAAGUCGGAUGUGAAAUCCCCGGGCUCAACCUGGGAACUGCAUUCGAAACUGGCAGGCUAUAGUCUUGUAGAGGGGGGUAGAAUUCCAGGUGUAGCGGUGAAAUGCGUAGAGAUCUGGAGGAAUACCGGUGGCGAAGGCGGCCCCCUGGACAAAGACUGACGCUCAGGUGCGAAAGCGUGGGGAGCAAACAGGAUUAGAUACCCGGGUAGUC